This 271-nucleotide ribosomal RNA is filed under the name uncultured archaeon. Its description in RNAcentral is "partial 16S ribosomal RNA". It matches the Rfam family "Archaeal small subunit ribosomal RNA", at positions 477 to 747 of the family's 1478-position model. The record is from RNAcentral.
CUGCGCCACAAGUGGCAAUCGUUAUUAUUGGGCCUAAAGCGUCCGUAGCAGGUCUUGUAAAUCUCUUGUGAAAUUGUCGCGCUUAACGCGACAGCGUGCAAGAGACACUGCAAGACUCGGGACCGGGAGGAGUCAGAGGUAUUUCUUGGGGAGCGGUAAAAUGCUAUAAUCCAAGAAGGACCACCUAUGGCGAAGGCAUCUGACCAGAACGGAUCCGACUGUGAGGGACGAAAGCUAGGGGAGCGAACCGGAUUAGAUACCCGAGUAGUCC